AGAAAAAACCCUCAAGUGUGAAGGUGGCAGCCAAGCAAAUCUGUUCAGAGUGGUUGACAAUGCCAGGAACCCCAAACUGAAGGUGAGGUGACCAAGACCCAGAGAGAGGAAGUUCACACAGCUAGGAAGAGGCAGAGCCAGGAUUCAUGCAGGCACUCUGGCUAUAGAACCCGCCCUGUUUACCUGGCUGUGUUAAGAGUGGAUGUACGUGGUAUUCAACAUUCAUGCCUGGUGUUUUGGGUACAAAUCAAAGCAAAGAGGUGGUGUUCUUUCUCUGACACAGACCUGGAAAGACAGAGUUGUGAAUUCCAUCUUCACAGGGGUUUCUCAUGGAUUUUGGCCUUCUGAGUUCUGUUAACUUCUUCCUGGGCAUCGGCAUGGCUCAGCUCAAGGGGAGGACUUGAUCAUCUGAAGGCAUCCGGUGAAAGGAAACAUUGCAACCGCAAAUCAUGUCUUUACAAGAAACAAUGAAAAACCUAUUCAAAUUGGCUUACUUGCUACAUCAGCUUCUCCAUGCUGUGAAACUUCAAAAUGUAAUUACUGGGCCACACAAACACAAUGAAUUAAAAAAAAAAAAGGCUGUACAACCAAGACAAGUACAUUCCCCAGUGUUUCUUUGGUUCUAUGUAAUCCGCAUUGUCUCUACACUGUAAACAAUUCUUCGAGUUUUCUAAAGCUUUAGUAAUAUUAUAGCAAAUUAAAUAUCUCCAGAGAAUGAUUAUUUUCUCUUAAUGAGUAAUAAUAAUUGUUCUGUGCUGACCUUCCAUGGCCACAUUUCUCCAAAGAAUUGAUGACCCCUGUACUUCCAUUAUACUUUUUAAAUUUAUAUUGGUGAUUUUAUUUUUAUCCUAGGAUACUUUAAAUUGAGAUUAUUACCUAUGCCAUAUCAAUGCCAUUCAAGUGAACCUGUGAGACUAGGAAAAAUAACACUCUUUGUUAGCUGGGCCAUAGCUGUGUUGUCUUGGUCAGGUUAAUUAAUGUCUUGUGUUUCCAUUUCUUUAUCUGUAUAAUGGGAAGAAUACACUUAAUGCAUGGAGUUUUUAGAAGGAUUAAGAGAUUAUGAAUGUGAAAGUAGCUUUUAAAGCAUGAUGCAAAAUACAGUUAUUAGUUCUAAUUAUUCGUCAUAAGAUAAUAAUUACUAUCAUUUGAGAAACAUGUUCCUUUCAUUCAUUUGCUGAAUACUUGGAGUUUUAGGCAUUUCUGCCUAGACUCAACGGAAUCUUCGUAUCAAAAUACACAGCGGUAAAAGUCCUUAUUUCUAUCUUAAGCUCCUACAGUUAGAUUCUUUUUCAUUUCUCAGAGGUAUAUCCCAUGAGUGAAGGGUCUCAGGGAAACUUUGACACUACCCUAUGCAUCCCACAACCCAUCCUUGUUAGAUCAGUCCUUUAGUUUAUACAGAUCUAUGAGAAUAUUUUUCUUCAUAAGCACCAGCAAUUCAUGCCAACAACUUGUUUACUUUUAUGAGAUUUAUCUAAUCUAGUUGAUUGAUUUGUCAUCAAAACUCCAAUUUGGGCUUUAGACCUUAGGUCCACGGAGAGUGUGGCAAACUAUUAUUUUAUCACAUCCCUGGGUUCUGCAUUCACAAUGUGUGUGAUUCAAGUGUUCCCUCAUAUAGCAUAUUUGCUCUUUUCUGUGGUCACUGUAUAAAGAAAGCACACCAAAGACUUAAGAGAGUCAGUCGUCUGCCUACAUGGUUAAAUUUACUUCACUCCAUGAAUUUGUUUGCAGGACAAAUGGCCUUUCAAAGAUGUCUAUACAAGUACCAGUUGCUUUAUUGUGUUCAAUUGACCUCACCUAAGUUCAAACAAGAAGCUUGUUCCAUGAAUUCUGUUGCUAUGAUUUAGGUUUGUGAACCUCUAGAACUCAUAACAAUGCUUUUAAAAAAUGAUACAGGUUCUAUCUGACAUAGUUUAAGUCACUCCAAACCUGAACACAGCAAGACUCACAGAAUCCUAGACACACUGCCUGGCCUAAUAGUCACAUGAAUCUCUAAAGAAUGUCAUAAUUAACUGGAAAAUGAGGUAAUGCAUGGCACCUUCACACCCCUUCAUAGUUUUCCUCUUUCUUCAAUAUUGUAACUUUGUGUAACAGCUUCUCUCUUUGAUCUACCUGUACGAAGUGUUUACAGAGAAAUUCCAUGUAUUCCAGUUUGAACUUAACAAAUCUUUAUAUUACAAGUUUGAAGUUGGUAGAAUAUGAAUGUUUUAAAUCCAUGCCUUACAGCAAAAUGUCUCAAAGAGAUAAUUUCCUAGGAAAGACAUAGCUCACAUUGAAACUUACAAUUCAUUUUCGUAGGAUGAGAGCCAAGGAUUAUUUCAACCUUAGAUCACCUUAUCCUGAAUCCCUAAAUAUUCUAUGUGAGUCUCCAGGCACUUGUUACAUAUUCUUGCCUCUAUAUGUUCUUUAACAUCAUUUCAAAUACGAGUUGGUGGCCCAGUUACCUUUGUGAAGCCAAAUCGUUGUAAACUUAAAGUGCCUUCCAUUCUUCUUAGACGAAGGAGCCUAGUAUUCUUUGCUAGGUGCUAUGCUAGGUGCAUUACCUACAUUAUCUAACUUAAUCUGUAGAGAAAUAGUAUGAGGAAUGCAUUAUUGUCCCUUUUGUACAGAUGAAAAACACAAAGAAAAGGGAAUUGUAGCAAGUUGUCUCAAGGAGAGUAGUAAACAAAGUAGUAUAUGACAGAACUUCAAUUUGAAUGUACGUGUCAGGCUCUGAAGUUUAUGAUCUUUCUCCAUACCAGGGAGUGGUGAGAAUGAAAUUAUCAAAGAAAUUAUCAAACUAUAGUAAAUUACUUCAGUGUGUAUCAGUCUAGUGUGUGCGUGCGUGUGUGUGUGUAUGUGUGUGUAUUUAUAGAGGUUCUAGAUUUGAGGUAUCUCAUAUGUCUAGUGUCCACUGCUACAGAAUCCACGCAUGGACAUGGUCUAGCCUUUGCCGGUACACUUAGCCAGCGUGGACAUGAUCCUCUCCCAUGACGUUGGAAACAGAGAUCUCACCUUGGGGUGUUUCCCUCCGCUGACAUCUAGUGCAAGACUAUCACUGCUUAUAAAUGCAAAGUGAAUUUAGAAAACCCUAAGUUACCAUGAAAUUCAGUGCUGCCCUGCUGGUGUGACUUUUAAUCCCAAUGUGACCUAAAGUACAUAAAGUUAAUAUAAUUAGCACGAGAUGAAACCAGUGGUCUGUAGUUAUAGACAGCUUUAGAAAGUGGCACCCAGGGCCCAGUACUGGCAGUGGUCCACAUUUCCUUUCUCUUGGAAGGAAUAGGAAUCUUCAGUGCUGAACAAUGGCAGAAUUGGGUCACUUUUCAUGCUGACUCAGAUUGUACACAGAAGAGGAUUUUGGUCCCCAGGCAAACAGAGACUUGAGAAAUGGAGGUUUUUUUUUUUUUUUGUUUUUUUGUUUUUUGUUUUUGUUUUUGUUUUUUUAUGCCUCUACCUUAGUAAGAUGGUAUAUGGAUAAAAUAAACUGGACAAUAUGUGGCUCUAUAAAAUUAUUUAAAUACCUACCUUUGCUUGAAUGAGAGGAACUGAUUACAUAAAGUAUAGUAACUUCUUAUGCAAGGUAAAUUGUAAAUGUAUAUAGAUAGGUAGAUAUAUUGAUCCAUAGAUCCAUUGAUCAAUGGAUUGAUCGAUGCAUCCAUCUGUCCAUCCAUGUGUAGCAUAAGAAAAAUUAAAGUAGAUAAUGAGGCUUAAGUUAUUUUUCUCCUAUGGUCAAAUGUAACAACUAUAACAGCAAAUUGGAAUCAGUAAUACUAAUAUCUGGGUAAGGACUUCAAGACUUGCAGUGACUCCAAUAAGGAAUUAUCCUGGCCUUAGCUUUUUUUUUUUUUUUUUUUUUUUGUGCUCAUGUAUCUUCAUCAGAGAACAAUGGUAUCCAUGUCUUCACAACUGUCAAAGAGUUAGGAAUCAGAAGUUAUACUUUAGCUCUUACUAUUUUCCCCAUGUGUAAAAUUAAAGAGUGAAUUGGAUGAUCUCUAAGAUCCUUGUAAACAUCACGAGAUGAUAAGUGAAAAGAAUUGAUUUUUAAAUUUGACCUAUGUUUGAAUCCUGGCUUCAUGUUUUUCUAGUUAUGUAAUUCCUCUGUGCCUUAGGUUUUUUUCUGUACAAUGAGAGUAUAAUAUUAUUUCAUAUGGUUGAUGGGAAUAUUAAAUUAGAAUAACAAAAAGAGCUUAGCACAUUGUAGAUAAGCAAGGGAUUUUUUUGUUCUCUUUCUAUGACUAUAGGGACUAAUUGAGAUACUAAAAGUUAGCUAUUAUUCUUGCUCUUGAUUUUAAUGGUUCAGAUGAAACUUAAAAACGUAUAAUAUUACAUGGGCUAAAAGACAAUUGCAUUCCAAUAAGCUAUGAUUAUGGGAGAAAUAUCUCACACAGCUGCUGUGGAAAUUAAGUAAAUGAGAUAUUUUAAACUAAUUUGUUGAUUCCUCCAUUCAAAAUAUGUUUACUGAGAGGAUCUAGGUGCUGAUGCUGUGCUGGGUGUACACUGAUGUGCAAACCCAGAUGAGUCUUCUGCCCUCAGGAGAAUGGGAAGAUCAUUAUUAUUCAAAGAAACACACUGAAGUAGCACAGUCUGGCCCCUUCCCUUGGGAGAAUUAAUCCACAUUGAUUCCAAGAGACACUACAUAUGGCCAGCUUCCUGUUACUGGGUGGUGAAUCAGGGGUAGUGCAUGUGAAGUGAAGUGUUUUUGAUAUAGGAAACCAGAGUUCACCCGGGAUUCUGCUCACCCCAGUUUAUCAUGAAGAUACCUGAGAGCUGAAAAAAGAAAGUAGACAAGAAUUGAGGCCACUUUAAAGACUCUGCCUCAUUGUGGGCUGCCAUGGUCUCUUUGCUUGUAUCUCUUGGUUCUCUCUGUAGGAUUUUUGCCUCAUAAUAUUUGAUUUCCAUGACCUAUCAUGGCCCUGACAAGAUAGCAUGGCUUGGUUCCUGUUUCUCCUCACUAGCCACCUCUUAUCUUAGUAAUACCUAAUGAAAAUUUCCAAGAGAGCCAACUUGAAUUCUAUCUCCUUUUUGCUCCAAGUCACACCAAAGUCCCUGACCAGUGUGUGGAUGCUGCUACUGAGUCAGGUGCACAUUCUUCAUCCUAUCAGUUGUGGCCGGGGCUGCUGGACUGACUCUCAGCAGGGGUGGUGAGUAGGGGAGGUCCUGGGGGGUCUACUGUGGUUCAUCAAGACUCAGCCUAAAACUUGGAUGAAAUAUUUGUCCAGACCAUCUGAUUUGUAUACUACCCAAUCAACUUUCAAUAAACUUACAUGUCUUUUCAGGAACCUGACUUUGGGUACACAAGGCUGUGAAUAAGUUAUGAAUGGAAUGGGGCAGCCCCGGUGGCUCAGCAGUUUAGUGCCGCCUUUGGCCCAGGGCGUGAUCCUGCAGACCCAGGAUCAAGUCCCACAUCGGGCUCCCUGCAUGGAGCCUGCUUCUCCCUCUGCCUGUGUCUCUGCCUCUCUCUCUGUGUCUCUCAUGAAUAAAUAAAUACAAUCUUAAAACAAAAAGUUAUGAAUGGAAUGGCUGCUGGAAUGUGAUGGUCACUGAAAAUCAGUACAUGGGAUAUUUGAUUGGUAGUUUCAUCUCUUGUUAGUCAGUGACCACUAAUCUGACCAGCUUUAUGUGUAAUGACAAAACUGAAUGUGUAACACCUGUCAGAAUGGAGAAACUAAAAAACACAAGAAACAGCAAAUGUUGGUGAGAAUGUGGAGAGAAAAGGAACACUUGUGCACCACUGUUGGUGGGAAUGCAAAUUGGUUCAGCCACUGCAGAAAACAGUUUGGAGGCUCAAAAAGGUAUGUGUACCCCUUUGUUUUUUCAGCAUUAUUUGCAAUUACCAAGAUAUGAAAGCAACUCAGGAGUCCAUUGAUGGAUGGAUGAAGAAUAUGUGAUAUAUAUACAAUGGGAUAUUACUCAGCUAUAAGAAGAAGGAAAUCUUGCUAUUUGUGAG
Canis lupus familiaris (dog) is the source of this 5923-nucleotide long non-coding RNA. RefSeq lists it as uncharacterized. The transcript is spliced from 5 exons. NCBI's taxonomy places the organism in Eukaryota, Metazoa, Chordata, Mammalia, Carnivora, Canidae. The record is from RefSeq and is a predicted model, not a curated record.